Molecule: long non-coding RNA, 354 nt
Organism: Mastomys coucha (southern multimammate mouse)
Lineage: Eukaryota; Metazoa; Chordata; Mammalia; Rodentia; Muridae
Exons: 3
Source: RefSeq, a predicted model, not a curated record
GCUUGGCUAUCAGUCAGAAUUUGGAGCCAGAGAACUGGAUUCCUUUCCUAACUCUAUACUUCCUGCUUCUAUAACUUCAGCUCUCUCCCAGAGGAAGGAUAGAGGAGCAAACGCCUGAGACCUCCCAGUCAGCUUCUCACAGUAAAGGACAAAAAGAGCAAUAAUGGAAGUGCAUUCCAUGGGAUUUCUGGCUUCUACCUCCCAAUUUCCCAUUUCCUCUUCUAGAUUCUGCUACAGGGUGUGGCUAAGUUACCCAGCUGGCUCUGACGUUUCGUUGUUCCUGCCUCAGCCUUCCAAAGGCCUAGAAUUAAAGGCCUGCACCACCAGGCUCAGAAAAAUGUUAAAAUACAUAAA